CGUGAGUAAUGCCUAGGAAUCUGCCUGGUAGUGGGGAUAACGUCCGGAAACGGGCGUAAUACCGCAUACGUCCUGAGGGGAUCUUCGGACCUACGCUAUCAGAUGAGCCUAGGUCGGAUUAGACUAUUGGUGGGGUAAAGGCCUACCAAGGCGACGUCCGUAACUGGUCUGAGAGGAUGAUCAGUCCACACUGAACUGAGACACGGUCCAGACUCCUACGGAGGCAGCAGUGGGGAAUAUUGGACAAUGGGCGAAAGCUGAUCCAGCCACUGCCGCGUGUGUGAAGAAGGUCUUCGGAUUGUAAGCACUUUAACGUUGGGAGGAAGGGCAGUAAGUUAAUACCUUGCUGUUUUGACGUUACCAACAGAAUAAGCACCGGCUAACUUCGUGCCAGCAGCCGCGGGUAAUACAAGGGUGCAAGCGUUAAUCGGAAUUACUGGGCGUAAAGCGCCGUAGGUGGUUUCAGCAAGUUGGAUGUGAAAUCCCCGGGCUCAACCUGGAACUGCAUCCAAAACACUGAGCUAGAGUACGGUAGAGGGUGGUGGAAUUUCCGUGUAGCGGUGAAAUGCGUAGAUAUAGGAAGGAACACCAGUGGCGAAGGCACCACCUGGACUGAUACUGACACUGAGGUGCGAAAGCGUGGGGAGCAAACGGAUUAGAUACCCUGGUAGUCCACGCCGUAACUAUGUCGACUAGCCGUUGGGAUCCUUGAG
RNAcentral lists this ribosomal RNA (713 nucleotides) under bacterium. RNAcentral describes it as "bacterial SSU rRNA". It matches the Rfam family "Bacterial small subunit ribosomal RNA", at positions 100 to 836 of the family's 1533-position model. The record is from RNAcentral.